RNAcentral lists this long non-coding RNA (862 nucleotides) under Vulpes vulpes (red fox). Its description in RNAcentral is "lncRNA (ENSVVUG00000016033.1)". Lineage: Eukaryota; Metazoa; Chordata; Mammalia; Carnivora; Canidae. The record is from RNAcentral.
CUCUAUUCAAGCCCUUCAUAGAACUGGUCGUGCGUCUUAAUACAUAUUUACUUGCUUAUUUUUCCUGCUUCUUCUACUUUGCUGCUGAAUGUUCCAUGCAGGGCUUGGCACAUAGUAGUUGCCCAUUUUUGCUGGUGUGAUUACUACGAGCCGCAGCAGCAUCUCAGUGGCUGAUCUCCGAACGGUUUAUUUCUUGAUCGUAUGACUCACCCAGUGUGGAUGGGUAGGACCUCUGCUUUCCACACUCCAGCUACAGAGGAGCCCGGCCACAGUAUACCUUCCCGAUCUGAACAACAGGGCCCGAAAGAUUUGCCAAAGAAGGGGAGUCAAGAGAAAAAUGAGGCAUGUGGCUUUUAACAGUCCAGCAUCUGCACGUGUCGUCUCUGUUCGUGGUCUGUUGGCCCCAACCAGCCACUUGGCUCCACCUCGCUGCAGGGACUCUGGGAGAUGGAGGCAGAGCACAACACAGGAGGGUCGGAUGCAAACCGCGCAGCUUCUGUCUCGGAGAACAUCGAGUCCACGCACGGCAGCUGCUCCGGCCCCGCUUGGCCUUGGGCUGAAGGCACCGUGUGGUUUUGGGUCUGGUGUGGUGGGAGCAGGAGGGCCCGGUCACCUCCCCUUCCUGCUUCCAGCUCUGUCCGUUCCCAGUUGGUGCCACUGCCCAGCCUCCCCCGGUCACUGCCCUCUGACCUGUGGGGUGGCCUCCCAGGCACAUUCUCCAGAGGUGGGGCCUUCUCAGCACUUCGAAGGGCCAGCUUGGUCACUUUACGUAUCUCCAGAAAGACUCCAGGUCAGGAUCUCUCAGCCGUUUUGGCGUCUGGGGCUGGAUAGUCUCUGCUGGGGGGCUGACCUAUGCAUCUAG